UACGUAGGGUGCGAGCGUUGUCCGGAAUUAUUGGGCGUAAAGGGCUCGUAGGCGGUUUGUCGCGUCGGGAGUGAAAACAUCCAGCUUAACUGGGUGCUUGCUUUCGAUACGGGCAGACUUGAGGUAUGCAGGGGAGAAUGGAAUUCCUGGUGUAGCGGUGAAAUGCGCAGAUAUCAGGAGGAACACCGGUGGCGAAGGCGGGUCUCUGGGCCGAUACUGACGCUGAGGAGCGAAAGCGUGGGGAGCGAACAGG
Molecule: ribosomal RNA, 253 nt
Filed under: uncultured bacterium
Lineage: Bacteria
Description: partial 16S ribosomal RNA
Rfam family: Bacterial small subunit ribosomal RNA
Source: RNAcentral